RNAcentral lists this ribosomal RNA (253 nucleotides) under uncultured bacterium. RNAcentral's name for it is "partial 16S ribosomal RNA". It matches the Rfam family "Bacterial small subunit ribosomal RNA", at positions 524 to 776 of the family's 1533-position model. The record is from RNAcentral.
UACGAAGGGGGCUAGCGUUGCUCGGAAUGACUGGGCGUAAAGGGCGCGUAGGCGGUUUGCACAGUCAGAUGUGAAAUUCCUGGGCUCAACCUGGGGGCUGCAUUUGAUACGUGUAGACUUGAGUGGGGAAGAGGGUCGUGGAAUUCCCAGUGUAGAGGUGAAAUUCGUAGAUAUUGGGAAGAACACCGGUGGCGAAGGCGGGUCUCUGGGCCGAUACUGACGCUGAGGAGCGAAAGCGUGGGGAGCGAACAGG